This 468-nucleotide ribosomal RNA is filed under the name uncultured bacterium. RNAcentral's name for it is "partial 16S ribosomal RNA". It matches the Rfam family "Bacterial small subunit ribosomal RNA", at positions 28 to 507 of the family's 1533-position model. The record is from RNAcentral.
GACGAACGCUGGCGGCGUGCUUAACGCAUGCAAGUCGAACGGAAAGGCCCUGCUUUUGUGGGGUGCUCGAGUGGCGAACGGGUGAGUAACACGUGAGUAACCUGCCCUUAACUUUGGGAUAACUUCAGGAAACUGGGGCUAAUACCGGAUAGGAGCUCCUGCUGCAUGGUGGGGGUUGGAAAGUUUCGGCGGUUGGGGAUGGACUCGCGGCUUAUCAGCUUGUUGGUGGGGUAGUGGCUUACCAAGGCUUUGACGGGUAGCCGGCCUGAGAGGGUGACCGGCCACAUUGGGACUGAGAUACGGCCCAGACUCCUACGGGAGGCAGCAGGGGGGAAUAUUGCACAAUGGGCGGAAGCCUGGUGCAGCAACGCCGCGGGCGGGAUGACGGCCUUCGGGUUGUAAACCGCUUUCGCCUGUGACGAAGCGUGAGUGACGGUAAUGGGUAAAGAAGCACCGGCUAACUACGUG